This 464-nucleotide ribosomal RNA is filed under the name uncultured bacterium. RNAcentral describes it as "partial 16S ribosomal RNA". It matches the Rfam family "Bacterial small subunit ribosomal RNA", at positions 28 to 507 of the family's 1533-position model. The record is from RNAcentral.
GACGAACGCUGGCGGCGUGCUUAACACAUGCAAGUCGAACGAUGGAGCCAGCUUGCUGGUGGCUUAGUGGCGGCCGGGGGCGUAACACGUGGGUGAUCAGCCGCAAACUUUUUGAUGAGCGUGGGAAACUGGGGCUAAUACCGCAUAUGACCGAUACUCGCAUGGGUGUUGGUCGAGAGCUCCGGCGGCCUGGGAUGGGCCAGCGGCCUAUCAGCUUGUUGGUUGGGUAAUGGCCUACCAGGGCAACGACGGGUAGCCGGCCUGGGAGGGGGACCGGCCACACGGGGCCUGCGAGAGGGCCCAGACUCCAAUGGGAGGCAGCGGGGGGGAGUAUUGCCCAAUGGGCGCAAGCCUGAUGCAGCGACGCCGGGGGAGGGAUGACGGCCUUCGGGUUGUAAACCUCUUUCGCCAGGGACGAAGCGAAAGUGACGGUACCUGGAGAAGAAGCACCGGCUAACUACGUG